This 563-nucleotide ribosomal RNA is filed under the name Stagmatoptera sp. MN274. RNAcentral describes it as "partial 16S ribosomal RNA". It matches the Rfam family "Bacterial large subunit ribosomal RNA", at positions 1798 to 2622 of the family's 2925-position model. The record is from RNAcentral. Lineage: Eukaryota; Metazoa; Arthropoda; Insecta; Mantodea; Mantidae.
UCCCGUUUAUCAAAAACAUGGUUUCUUGUUUUAAUAUUUAAGAAAUUUAACCUGCCCCCUGAUGUGUAUUUAAAGGGCCGCAGUAUUUUGACUGUGCAAAGGUAGCAUAAUCAUUAGUCUUUUAAUUAAGGGCUGGAAUGAAUGGUUGGAUGAGGUAAAAACUGUUUUAUAUUAAUUGAAAUUGAAUUUGAUUUUUAAGUAAAAAAACUUAAAUGUUAUUAAGGGACGAGAAGACCCUAUAGAGUUUAAUAUAUAUAUGAUAAAUUAAUUUAGUUGAUAUAUAAUUUUUGGUUAUUAUAAUAUAUAUAUUUAAUUGGGGUGAUUAAAAGAUAAGUAAAACUCUUUUUUAAAUUUAAUAAUGUUUUUAGUUAAAUGAUCCAUUAUAAAUGAAUAAAAGAUUAAAUUACCUUAGGGAUAACAGCAUAAUUUUUUUUGAGAGUUCAUAUUAAAAAAAAAGAUUGUGACCUCGAUGUUGGAUUAGGAUUAGUUUUAGGGUGUAGAUGUUCAAUAACUAGGUCUGUUCGACCUUAAAAAUCCUACAUGAUCUGAGUUCAAACCGGAGA